ACUAUGAUUUAAAGCUUUAGAUGAUAAAAUAAAAAAAAGUGCAAAUUAUAUCUUACAGUACUAAAGAACAUGCGUAUUUGCUGCACAGAACCGGGCCUGAAUGGAACACCACUCAGUUCAAAAUUCCUAUAUGUAAACUCUGGGCAAAACCAUCUACCCUAAAAUUAAGGAUAUUAAAAGUGUAUACAAAUAUUUUUCUUUUGGAUGCAAUUAUAAUUUGGUGAAACACAACUCAACAAUACCAUGCAAUAUAAUUAUAUCAUGCCCACACUAAAUCAAAGAAGUGAGGGAGGAAUACACCUUUCCUGACUUUUUUGGUCCCCACCUGUCACGGGGAUUCAGCUUCUGACCAUUAGAACACACUUUUCCUGACUUUUUCGGUCCCCACCUCGACCUCGCCCAUCCCCCACCCACACGAGAGCUGCUGACAGUGAGUGGGCGGCAGCAUGUGCAGGUGCAGUAGAAGCAAGCAGGAGCACAAGCUGGCAGCAGCACAGACAGAAGGUGCUCCUACAGACACUAAUGGACGAGGAACACAUGGAAACGAAUGCUAGGCAGAGUGCAGGAUACACCAGGCUGAAGACACGCUUACAACGCCUAAGGGAGCAUCAUAAUACAUCUUUAUCGGGAACAUGGAAUCCGUAAAACACCAAAGCAAGGAAGUAAGCCUAGAUUCUGAGAGUUCACAUGAUGAGGUUGGUGAUGACCCAGAUGUACCACCCCUGAGGAGAACUAACAGCGUAUCUGAACCUUAAUAUCCAACAGAGGACAGAGAACAGCGGACCUCCGAUGAGCCUGGCAGUGUUGAACCUGCAGCCACAGGACCCUCAACGUCAAAAAGAAGAAAGGAAACUGAGCCUGACAGUUGGGAUCUUAAAACAGAAACCUCAAAGAAGAGGAGUUGGUCAUUGGCAGAGGUCCACGCAGUGGAAAAGACACUAAAAUGUGGUAAAGUACCAGGGAAGUCGGAGUGUGUUGCCUGUAUUAAGGCUUCACCAGAAGCACUUACAAAAUAGAUUUAUUUCUGUUUCCUUUCAUAGCAGUAGAGGCUACAAUGAUUUUAGCAGUGACUUGUCUGUCAAAGAUCCAUUAGUCAUAAUUGGCUGAACUGCAUCUGAUGUGUAGCUCGACUUCACGGUGGUACUAACAAUAUGCUCAUGCUACAAUAAAGUGUUCUAAAUACUUAACUUGCAAAAUGACAAUUUCUAUAUCAUGUUACUUAUUAAGUGUUGCGUAGAAUUAGUGAAGAAAACUUCUUUUCUUGCAUGCCUGAAUUAUAAAUGGCAGUAUAAUCUGAGCAUGGCGUCAGGGUUAUGUGCUCGCAAGCAAAUUAUA
Long non-coding RNA from Perca fluviatilis (European perch), 1335 nucleotides. RefSeq lists it as uncharacterized. NCBI's taxonomy places the organism in Eukaryota, Metazoa, Chordata, Actinopteri, Perciformes, Percidae. The transcript has 6 exons. The record is from RefSeq and is a predicted model, not a curated record.